This 253-nucleotide ribosomal RNA is filed under the name uncultured bacterium. RNAcentral's name for it is "partial 16S ribosomal RNA". It matches the Rfam family "Bacterial small subunit ribosomal RNA", at positions 524 to 776 of the family's 1533-position model. The record is from RNAcentral.
UACAGAGGGGGCAAGCGUUGUUCGGAAUUACUGGGCGUAAAGGGCGCGUAGGCGGCUCGCUAAGUCGAACGUGAAAUCCCCGAGCUCAACUCGGGAACUGCGUCCGAUACUGGCGGGCUUGAAUCCGGGAGAGGGAUGCGGAAUUCCAGGUGUAGCGGUGAAAUGCGUAGAUAUCUGGAGGAACACCGGUGGCGAAGGCGGCAUCCUGGACCGGCAUUGACGCUGAGGCGCGAAAGCUAGGGGAGCAAACGGG